Molecule: small RNA, 679 nt
Filed under: Pongo abelii (Sumatran orangutan)
Lineage: Eukaryota; Metazoa; Chordata; Mammalia; Primates; Hominidae
Description: processed transcript
Source: RNAcentral
GCAGUCAUGGCGCAGGAAGAGGAAGAUGUUAGAGAUUACAAUUUGACUGAAGAACAGAAGGCGAUCAAGGCCAAGUAUCCGCCAGUCAAUAGGAAGUACGAGUAUUUGGAUCAUACAGCAGAUGUCCAGUUACACGCAUGGGGAGAUACUCUGGAGGAAGCAUUCGAGCAAUGUGCAAUGGCCAUGUUUGGUUACAUGACAGAUACUGGGACAGUGGAGCCCCUCCAAACAGUAGAAGUAGAAACCCAAGGAGAUGACUUACAGUCUCUUCUGUUUCACUUUUUGGAUGAAUGGCUUUAUAAGUUCAGUGCUGAUGAAUUCUUCAUACCCCGGGAAGUGAAAGUACUUAGCAUUGAUCAAAGAAAUUUCAAAUUACGAUCAAUUGGAUGAGGUCUCCCUAUGUUGCUCAGGCUGUUCUCAAACUCCUGGGCUCAAGCGAUCCUCCCUUUGGCCUCCCAAAGUGCCGGGAUUAUAGGUAUGAGCCACCGCACCCGGCCUUAACUAUCAAUCUUGAGAGCAAAUGAUGACACUGCACACACGUCCCUCAACAGCUGUAUCUUCUGACAAAUGAAAAUGAAACUUAACAGCUCCCUGACCCCUCCUGUCUCUUUUGGCUUUCUAGCAUGUUAACCACAUUUACAGGGCUUAUUUUAAAGCAUAUAAAGAGAGAACAAAUCUU